This 475-nucleotide ribosomal RNA is filed under the name Fusarium sp. 245.VII. RNAcentral's name for it is "eukaryotic LSU rRNA". The stretch from base 179 to 332 matches the Rfam family "5.8S ribosomal RNA". The record is from RNAcentral. Lineage: Eukaryota; Fungi; Ascomycota; Sordariomycetes; Hypocreales; Nectriaceae.
CCGUAGGGUGAACCUGCGGAGGGAUCAUUACCGAGUUUACAACUCCCAAACCCCUGUGAACAUACCUAUACGUUGCCUCGGCGGAUCAGCCCGCGCCCCGUAAAACGGGACGGCCCGCCCGAGGACCCUAAACUCUGUUUUUAGUGGAACUUCUGAGUAAAACAAACAAAUAAAUCAAAACUUUCAACAACGGAUCUCUUGGUUCUGGCAUCGAUGAAGAACGCAGCAAAAUGCGAUAAGUAAUGUGAAUUGCAGAAUUCAGUGAAUCAUCGAAUCUUUGAACGCACAUUGCGCCCGCCAGUAUUCUGGCGGGCAUGCCUGUUCGAGCGUCAUUUCAACCCUCAAGCUCAGCUUGGUGUUGGGACUCGCGGUAACCCGCGUUCCCCAAAUCGAUUGGCGGUCACGUCGAGCUUCCAUAGCGUAGUAAUCAUACACCUCGUUACUGGUAAUCGUCGCGGCCACGCCGUAAAACCCC